CCUACGGGAGGCAGCAGUGGGGAAUAUUGCACAAUGGAGGAAACCCUGAUGCAGCGACGCCGCGUGAGUGAAGAAGGAAUUCGUUAUGUAAAGCUCUAUCAGCAGGGAAGAAAAUGACGGUACGUGAGUAAGAAGCCCCGGCCAAUUACGUGCCAGCAGCCGCGGUAAUACGUAGGGGGCAAGCGUUAUCCGGAUUUACUGGGUGUAAAGGGGGCGUAGACGGUAGGGCAAGUCUGGAGUGAAAGGCGGGGGCUCAACCCCCGGACUGCUCUGGAAACUGGACGGCUGGAGUGCAGGAGAGGUAAGUGGAAUUCCUAGUGUAGCGGUGAAAUGCGUAGAUAUUAGGAGGAACACCAGUGGCGAAGGCAGCUUACUGGACUGUAACUGACGUUGAGGCUCGAAAGCGUGGGGAGCAAACAGGAUUAGAUACCCGUGUAGUC
Molecule: ribosomal RNA, 440 nt
Filed under: uncultured bacterium
Lineage: Bacteria
Description: partial 16S ribosomal RNA
Rfam family: Bacterial small subunit ribosomal RNA
Source: RNAcentral